Panicum hallii is the source of this 585-nucleotide long non-coding RNA. RefSeq lists it as uncharacterized. The transcript has 3 exons. NCBI's taxonomy places the organism in Eukaryota, Viridiplantae, Streptophyta, Magnoliopsida, Poales, Poaceae. The record is from RefSeq and is a predicted model, not a curated record.
UGUUUCAAACGAUCAGUUUGAAAUUUUUUGGAUAAAUUACUCCACGCAUAAUCUCUCUGCCUCCUUAAUCCCUAAAAUCCAGUUGAGAUAUAUAUGAUGGCACCGCUGUGUGUGCGGCCAGCAGCGGCAGCGCGCGUUGCAGCCUUGCAGGUGCCUAGCCAAGCCACUAAGCCAGCAACAGUGCAUGCCAGGCGCGUAGGCCACAAGCGCGCUGAUGAGCCGGUCUGUGAGAAAACGCGUCAGAAGCGGAAGAACCAGCACAGAUAUUGUGGUGUAAAAAAUCGACUGACAAAGCGAAAUGAUGAUCACUCGAGUGAUGGUUAGGAAUUACCAAAGUCCGUGCACAUGCAGGCUGGACAGCAGCGCAAUGCGCAAAUAACAGGUCUUUCAAGAACGAUUGAAACAAGUAGAGGCCUCAUGGCUCCUUCAGGCUACUCACAAAGGGUGAACGCCAGCAUUGGUGCAUGAACAUAGAAUGGGGAGACAGUAAACGCAAAUCGUUGAAGGGUCAUUGCAAGUGCGACCUUGGCCUCAACCAACGCAAGAUUCUGGCCAACGCAGAUUGUAGGACCGAUCCCAAAGGGC